RNAcentral lists this ribosomal RNA (3419 nucleotides) under Trebouxiophyceae sp. KSI-1. RNAcentral's name for it is "bacterial LSU rRNA". The stretch from base 1 to 2551 matches the Rfam family "Bacterial large subunit ribosomal RNA". The record is from RNAcentral. Lineage: Eukaryota; Viridiplantae; Chlorophyta; Trebouxiophyceae.
CUUAAGGCUUACGGUGGAUACCUAGGCAUUCAGAGACGAAGAAGGGCGUGGCAACCGACGAAACACUUCGAAGAGCUGGAAACAAGCAUGGACUCGGAGAAUCCCGAAUAAGGCAACUUUAAAAACUAUUUAUCGAAUUCAUAGAUAAAAAAGAGAUAACCCAGUGAAUUGAAACAUCUCAGUAGCUGGAGGAAAAGAAAGCAAAAGCGAUUCCCUUAGUAGCGGCGAGCGAAGCGGGAACAGCCUAAACCAAUCGAACAAAAGUUUAAUUGGGGUCGUGGGAGGAUAUUCUUUAAAAUCUAUAGAAGGAAUUGUUCUACUUAGUAGAACAAUAUACCUUAAAGGUCUUUAGACUCUGAUGGUGUUUAGACCAUCUGGAUUUUAAUAGGUUAAAUAAUUUAAGUAGAUGAAACAGCUGAUUCCUGUACCAUAGAAGGUGAUAGUCCUGUAAUUAAAACUUAAAUAAUUUUAGACUUAUAUCUUAUCCCAAGUAGCAUGGGGCACGUGAAAUCCCGUGUGAAUCAGCGAGGACCACCUCGUAAGGCUAAAUACUCCUGAAUGACCGAUAGUGAAACAGUACCGCGAGGGAAAGGUGAAAAAGAACCCCUUAAGGGGAGUGAAAUAGCACAUGAAACCGUAAUCUAGCAAGCUGUGGGAGAGGUACUUGUACCUUGACCGCGUGCCUGUGGAAGAAUGAGCCGGCGACUUAUAGGGAGUGGCUUGGUUAAGAAUUUCAAUCCAAAGCCAAAGCGAAAGCAAGUUUGAACAGAGCAAUUCUGUCACUCCUUAUGGACCCGAACCCGGGUGAUCUAACCAUGACCAGGAUGAAACUUGGGUAACACCAAGUGGAGGUCCGAACUCAUCGAUGUUGAAAAAUCGUGGGAUGAGUUGUGGUUAGGGGUAAAAAAUGGCAAUUUUGCCCCUCAAAAAGGUGACUUUUUGUAGUAUACUGACUCAUAACGGUGAAACCUAAAGGUUGUUUACUAAGUAAAAAACAAACGUAAUGAUCCAAGGUAAUACCGUGGGAAGUUUAAUUCAUUGAGAAGUAAAUUUGUUUUUAAUCUUUUUAAAAACACGUGUAUUAAACCCCGUAACGACUAACUCAAAAGAGUCUAGCAAAUAUCAAAGUUUUGCUUUGCAACCAUUUUGCUAGCACGUCAGCACUCACAUACUUCAAUCUUUAUUUUUUAAUAAUAAAAAAGCUUAUUAAAAUACUAUAAAGAUGUGAGUUGAAGGUAUAGUCUAAUCUUAGUUGAAAAACUAAGGGUUUCUUCUUUGUUUUAGUAAGAAACCAAUAAAUGGAAAUGCCAAUCGAACUCGGAGCUAGCUGGUUCUCCCCGAAAUGUGUUGAGGCGCAGCGAUUCAAGAUGUACGGUAUAGGGGUAAAGCACUGUUUCGGUGCGGGCUGCGAAAGCGGUACCAAAUCGUGGCAAACUAAGAAUACUAAGCUUGUAUUCCUUGAAUCAGUGAGAACAUGAGGGAUAAGCCUCAUGUUCAAAAGGGAAAUAGCCCAGAUCACCAGUUAAGGCCCCCAAAUGACAGCUAAGUGAUAAAGGAGGUGAGAGUGCAGAAACAACCAGGAGGUUUGCUUAGAAGCAGCAAUCCUUUAAAGAGUGCGUAAUAGCUCACUGGUGGAGCGCUCUUGCGCCGAAAAUGUAUGGGACUAAGUUGUCUGCCGAAGCUGUGGGAUAUUUACAAACGUAGAUAUCGGUAGGGGAGCGUUCUGCUGUAGGUUGAAGCAUGUAUGUCAAUACGUGUGGACGAAGCAGAAGUGAGAAUGUCGGCUUGAGUAACGAAAACAUUGGUGAGAAUCCAAUGCCCCGAAAAGCUAAGGUUUCCUUCACUAGGUUCGUCCAUGGAGGGUUAGUCAGAACCUAAGGUCAGGCCGAAAGGCGUCGCCGAUGGAAAGCAGGUUAAUAUUCCUGUACUAAUAAUAACUUACAACCGAGGGACGGAGUAGGUAUGCAUACACUAGAAUUGGAACUAGUGAGAAGCGUAUGAGGUGAUGAGAAACAGAACAAAAACUGUAUUUGAGCUGAAUCGCAUUAUGUAUUUAUGUUUUUUCUCUUUGAGAAAGUAAGUAAAUAUUAUGUUUAAUAUCAGACUUCCAAGAAAAGCUCGUACUUGUUUUUGGUAUAGCCAAAAAAAGUUAUUUAUUAUCUGUACCCGAAUCCGACAAAGGUAGCUAGGUAGAGUAUACCUAGGGGCGCGAGAUAACUCUCUCUAAGGAACUCGGCAAAAUGACCCCGUAACUUCGGGAGAAGGGGUGCCUCCGAGAGGAGGUCGCAGUGAACAGGCCCAGGCGACUGUUUACCAAAAACACAGGUCUCCGCGAAGUCGUAAGACAAAGUAUGGGGGCUGACGCCUGCCCGGUGCUGGAAGGUGAAGCAAGUUGGUUAUUUGACUUUUAGUCAGAGAAGCUGACGACCGAAGCCCCAGUGAACGGCGGCCGUAACUAUUCGACCAGAGUAGUUAUAAAAUUUGGCUAUAUGCUGGAAACUCUCGCAAAAAUAACAUUACUUAGUUUUUAAACAAGUGAAAAUAUGUUAUUAAGAGACAAUCAGCAGGAAAUCUUUUAUUUCAGAUGCGAAGCAAUAAGUACAAGCUAAAAGUUUAAAUCUUUUAAAAGUACUAUAAAAAAUGCUUAAGUAUUUUAUUAAAAUAAAAGUUGAUGGGACAAAACAACCUAGAUUUAGAAAAUUCAAAAAUAAGAACACAAUUAGCAUAUUAUUUAGCAGGAUUUUCUGAUGCAGAAGGUAGUUUUAAUGUUUCUUUGAUUCGACAAGAAAAUAAUAUAAGAGUGCCUUGGAAAAUUAGACCAAUCUUUAGUGUUCGUCAAAAAGAUAGCGAUAUAUUAUCCUAUUUACCUAAAAUCUUAGGUUGUGGGAACGAACCAUAUAUUGGCUCAGACGAAAUUGCUACGUUUUCAGUAACAAAUCUGACAGCUUUGCGUAAACACGUUAUUCCUUUUUUUGAGAAAUUUACUUUUCAAACAUUAAAGAAACAACAAGAUUUGGUAAACUUUAAAGAAAUUUUACGAAUUUUAGAAAAACCAGAGAAUUUGCUUACUCAUUCUGAUAUUAAGCAAAUCCUGGCUUUACGUGUUAAUUCAGAGGCAAUUGUUGGUAAACGCACUUAUAAGGAUGAAGAGGUACUAGCUCUUUGGCAAGACCCAGAAAUUUUUACAAAAUCAGCAGAAGAAAUACAAAAUUCCUCAGAGACUACUAUGCCAAAAUCACGAAAAGUGAAACCCACUUUAAAUGAUAAGAUAGAGUCCGACCUUUAUAGCGAUAUAAAGGCUCAAGAAGAUCUAUUUUGUGAAAUAGAUUCGAAUGAUGCACUAUGUUUUUUUAUAGCUGGCUUUACAGAUGGAGACGGAAGCUUUAAUGCAAGUUUUCGCAUAAAUCAUAGCCCAGAGA